AUUAAUGGAAGCUUCUCGGAGUGAAGAAAAAUGAUACAACAUGGAAAUUCAGAUCUACAGAUAGUACUGAGGAUGGAAAAUAUGUGGGCAACAGUGACUUCCACUACUCCAUCUUCCAGAUUCACAUCUGCAAGAGAAAAAUGCCGUGUGUUCUUUUUUAAAUCUGCUUUUCAUUUUGAUCACCUUCUCAAACACCUGGAGGACUAAUGUGGACCACCCAGAGGAAUGCUAUCUGAAACCUACCAGCAGCUUAUGGUAGUGUAAGAUCAGUGGGUGACUCUGUAGUCCUGAGUUAUUAUUCCAUCUCUGCCAUUACCUGGCUGUAACAUUGGACAGGUCACUUAACCUCCCUGUACCUUACUUUCCUAGCUAGGGGUAUUAUCAU
This is a long non-coding RNA of Physeter macrocephalus (sperm whale), 385 nucleotides long. RefSeq lists it as uncharacterized. The transcript has 3 exons. The record is from RefSeq and is a predicted model, not a curated record. Lineage: Eukaryota; Metazoa; Chordata; Mammalia; Artiodactyla; Physeteridae.